UGACUGAAGAAAACUUGUUGACUGAAGACAGGAAGUAGUUUAUCUCUAACUUUAAAAAAGAGCCUCAAACAUAGAAACAUGUCUGAGGCCUAAUGGUCUGGUUUGGCUUUAACAAGAAAAAAAUCAUGUUUCAACAUCACAAGAUCAUCUCACCCCUAAUUAGUCACAAAUGGUGUAAUUUUAAGGAUGACACACAGGUGUGAUCAAACAGAAAUAAUAACAGGUCAGAUUUUAAGUAAACAGACAUUAGAUAUUGAAGUUUGAUGACAAAGUUAUCAUCAGCCUGUUGGAGCGAGAGGAUGAUUCACCUGGUCAGGUGGUUUUAUUUUUGGUUUAUUUUGGUUUUAUUUUUAAACUUAAAACUGAAAAUCAACAGAAUAAAAGACUUCAGAGAGAAGUCCAGUCCACCAGCUUCAGCUCUCAUUAAAGGGGAACCGUUGGAGCGAGUGACAUUCAGUGUUAAAAAUGUAACGCAAUCAGUUGCAUUUUUAUGUCAUGAUGGUAAAUCUAACGCACAGUAACAUCUGUGAAAAGCGGCUUCUCUGGAAGUUCUGCUUCUACACAAUCUGAUUGGACGCUGGAAAGAUUGUUGUUGUGAUCAAGUUGUGCUAAAAGUAUUUAGCCUGCUAGCACAGCUAUUGAAGCCUCAAAUAGCACUUGAAUGCUAAAGAUGUAGCAGCUAAUGCUAAUGUUAGCAUCCAUAGUCCAUGUUUCUAAAUAAGCUCCAUGAAUGAUCAGGGCUUCCUGAAACUCUGGAAAGAUUAACUUUAAAUAAUCAGAAU
Molecule: long non-coding RNA, 782 nt
Organism: Poecilia latipinna (sailfin molly)
Lineage: Eukaryota; Metazoa; Chordata; Actinopteri; Cyprinodontiformes; Poeciliidae
Exons: 3
Source: RefSeq, a predicted model, not a curated record